Molecule: non-coding RNA, 643 nt
Filed under: Pan troglodytes (chimpanzee)
Lineage: Eukaryota; Metazoa; Chordata; Mammalia; Primates; Hominidae
Source: RNAcentral
AGCCCUCAGCGUACAUGCCAGCUAAUUACAGAUGCAGGAGCAAACCCCUGGCCCAUACAUCAAUUUUGAGUCUUGCUCUAUGGCCCAGACUGGAGUGCAGUGGCGUGAUCUUGGCUCACUUCAACCUCCACCUCCCGGGUUCGAGAGAGAUUCUCCUGCCUCAUCCUCCCGAGUAGCUGGGAUCACCGGCGCCCACAACCACACCCGACUAAUUUUUGUACUUUUAGUGGAGACAGGGUUUCACCAUGUUGGCUAGGCUGGUCACAAACUCCCGACCUCAGGUUAUCCAUCUGCCUUGGCCUCCCAAAGUGCUGGGAUUACAGGCGUGAGCCCCCGCACCUGGCCAAGAUCAGCUAGAUUUUGGAAGCAUUGCCUUCUACAGAAUCCACAGUAGUCCGAAGUUCUUCUACGGUUUUUGUCAAACUUUGAUUUUCCAUCUCUAGCUUCAAUAAUCUACUUGAUGUCAACUCAUUCACCUCAUGGCCCAGGGAUUUCUGGGGUGCUAUAAUAUUGAAAAAUACACCAUUGUAUUUACUCUUUACUGUUUUUACUAUGUUUACUCUUUACUAUUUAAAAAGUUGAGUGUAUAUGCAUUGCAUCAUCUGAUCCUUAACUUUAUUAAAAAUUCAAUGAGGUUAUAUAA